GAUGAAGAACGUAGCGAAAUGCGAUAAGUAAUGUGAAUUGCAGAAUUCAGUGAAUCAUCGAAUCUUUGAACGCACAUUGCGCCCGCCAGCAUUCUGGCGGGCAUGCCUGUUCGAGCGUCAUUUCAACCCUCGAGCCCCCCCGGGGGCCUCGGUGUUGGGGGACGGCACACCAGCCGCCCCCGGAAUGCAGUGGCGACCCCGCCGCAGCCUCCCCUGCGUAGUAGCACACACCUCGCACCGGAGCGCGGAGGCGGUCACGCCGUAAAACGCCCAACUUUCUUAGAGUUGACCUCGGAUCAGGUAGGAAUACCCGCUGAACUUAAGCAUAUCAAUAAGCGGAGGA
This 343-nucleotide unclassified non-coding RNA is filed under the name soil metagenome. Its description in RNAcentral is "partial contains 5.8S ribosomal RNA, internal transcribed spacer 2, and large subunit ribosomal RNA". The stretch from base 1 to 120 matches the Rfam family "5.8S ribosomal RNA", at positions 35 to 154 of the family's 154-position model. The record is from RNAcentral.